AAUGACAUAAGGUUCAAUAUUACUUGUGCGAAAAGCAUCAAACCUACAACAAUAUCUAGCAAAUCGUCUACAUCGGGGGAAUACGAAACAUCCACAAGUACAGGACAAGUAACUAAUACAGAAUCAUAUACAGAAUCAUAUACAGAAGAUAACAAAGACACAGGAGGAAACAAAUUUAUAAUUCCGGUUGUGGCAGCAUUAUCUGGCCUUAUAGUUUUGGUGAUUGUGAUAGUCGUAAUCAUUGUCUAUAGAAGAUCACAACAAAGCAAAGGAAAAUAGCAAACAUUGAUUUGAUGAGCUAUCACUGCCCCAGCACCGGCAUGACCGGAACUAUAUCAUUCAGAAACAUUGAAUGGGUUGCGUGAUCCCAAGGACUAGAAAAUAUGAAAACACAAGGCCAGUAUUAAUUAGAAAACUCCUACUGUCUGGUUUAUGUUAAGUAUCGAGGUCGGUGUUUGAUGUUUGUUUUCUGCUCCUUUGAGAAAUAGAAAGCCAAAGUUACGUUGUUAAUGAAUUGAAUUUAUCAAGGUAAGAUGCGAGCCUCCGGCUUAUGUUAUUCAGGUUGUUCAAUUAACAACACAUAGUAGUAAUAUAUUCUAUGAAAUAAAGGCAUCGCAGUGCAGCUAAAGAAUACGUUAUUGUACAUAGUGAUAUAAUAAUCUGGUGUAUUUAUACAUUUAAAGGUAUACUAAGCAUUAUUCUAUGUUUCAUAUGACAACGAAAUCUUUAAAGACUACCGUCAUUUUAUUAUUCGGCAAGCUUUAAACUUUGUAAACUAAUUUGAUUUCUUGCGAGUUUGAUUAUGCUAUUCAUAAUACUUAUGCAUCACCCCUAAACGUCUGACGCACUCACUA
This is a long non-coding RNA of Mercenaria mercenaria, 854 nucleotides long. RefSeq lists it as uncharacterized. The transcript is spliced from 3 exons. The record is from RefSeq and is a predicted model, not a curated record. Lineage: Eukaryota; Metazoa; Mollusca; Bivalvia; Venerida; Veneridae.